Molecule: long non-coding RNA, 680 nt
Filed under: Panax ginseng (ginseng)
Lineage: Eukaryota; Viridiplantae; Streptophyta; Magnoliopsida; Apiales; Araliaceae
Description: long non-coding RNA (PGIN_LNC018276)
Source: RNAcentral
UCUCAUUUUAAUUUAUUUUAUCUUACUGCAUACACUUUUACGUUAAUCGCAAUUGAAUUUCAUCAAAUAUUUAUCGACAUGUAUAUUAUUUUCCUAAAUUAAAAAGGAAAUGUGAAAAAAAACAGAAUACAUAUAUAGCAAUUUUGUUCAAAUAUGUUAAAGCUACAUUACUAUUCCAAGAAAAACCAUUACACUGCCCUUUCAUCUUGUCAACUACAAAUCAUUUCACCAAUAUAUAUAUGGGCUAUAUGUAUAUAUACAACUGUGUAUUACACAGUCGGGUUACGACGACAAAUUUUUUAGACUGACGACGGUUCACCCGUCGCCGUAGCCCAGAAUAACUAUGGCGACGGGUGAAACUGUCGCUAUCUGUGUUACUCGGACUCGACUGUUUCAGAUGGAGUACCCGUGUCGACACGAUCCGACACGGGUGCAGGAUAUGUGUCGGGUACGACAAUUUCAAUAUGGAUACGGCUGAACGAAUGAAGCUGAGCGGGAUAUGAGUGACAAAAAAGAGAAAAAAGGCUGAAAGAGAGGUAGAGAGUAAGAGAUUGAGACUUAUCUUCUAUUCUUCUCCUCCUCUUCUUCUAUUCUUCUCUUAUUCUCUUCUAAUCUUUUGAUCUUCUCAUCUUCUAGUGUUCUAAUCUUCUCCUUUUCUUCUCCAAAGUUUUCUUCUUCAA